CAAUGAGUGGGAGGUAUACUUCCUUCCUACAGGUUUUUCGUCUAAAGUUGUCACAGAAAAGUGGUUUUCCCUUCUGGUGUUCAGCAAGAACCCAGUGUUAGACUCAAGGGGGAUAUAAUCAAACAUCCAGCCUGGGUCCAUAUUAUGUAGAUCUCUGAGAAUUCCCACUGUCUGCUUUCAGCCUACCUAAAUCAGGCUUUCAUACUAGAAUGGCAAUGCUUGACUCCUGCUUCAUACUGGUGUCAGUCCCUGUACAAGAUGCAGGGCAUCCAUGAAUCUGGCCCCUGGAUUCUAUCCUAGGCUUUGCCACUGACAUGAUUGUAGGAUCUUGGGCAAGUUUCUUAACCAUCCUUUGUCCUUGUGUGCAGGACUGGGGUCUGCUGACAGUGCUGUGUCAGUUAGGAGUGUGAAAAAACUACACUGGUAGUGGCCACAGGUGUCCAGAUGUGGAUGGAGGCAGCUUCGUAGGAGCUGGCAGAGCUCUGGUAGAAAUUGUGACUGGCAAGGCAAGGGGAUUGGGACUGAAGGAGGAGAGACUUGCAUGGCCAUUCCGGAGGCACAGAGUAGGCCUUUCUGAGCAAGAAGACUAAGACUAAGACUGGGGCUGUCCAGGUGAGGAGAACAGGACAAAGGAGCUGGGAGCUGGAAAGGUGACAGUUUGGAAGGGACAGGACAAGUGGAGUUGAGUUUGGAGGAAAUGGGCGGAAGGGUCUUUGCCUACUAGGGCAUGUUCUCUUCUAGAGUGUAAAUUGGAGCCCAGGAUUCCUGUGCUGUGCCAUUCCCCCGCAGUCAGGACAUGUCUCUGAAACAACGGCAGUGUGUCGAAGUCUGUCCCAGAGCUGGUCCACUCUAGAAAACGACAGCCUGCUACUUACUGUGAGUUAUUCCAGUGGCACAGCUCUGUGCAACAGAAUUAAAGGUUGCAAAUCUUCUGAUGGUCCAAAUCAGCGUUGGAGGGAUGCCACACAGGGAAUUGACUGGUUUCUUAGUUGUUGUUUUUUUAAGUCUAGAGACGUAAAUCUACACAUGCACAAACUGCAGUAAAAAUUGUUCAGAUUACAUAUUUUAACUAAAAAGCUAGAAAAUGUCAGAACUGAGACUAGAGUCCUAUGGCAAAACAGCAUAAGAUUAUGUGCUUGGUAACUGCAGACUGUCUCAAUGCAUAUAAAUGAAGGAAAUGAAUUAAGGUUGCACAGGCCACCUUACUUUUGGUGUUUCCUAACAACUGACUGACGUUGUUAAGAUUGCAAUGUUCUUUCAACCUAGGGCUGCAUUUGUCCGUGUUGUAAUGGCACUCCACCAAGAACAAAUUUGGUUCACAAUAGCUGGUUUCUUCUCAUGCCACUAUAUCCAGUUCCAUUGCUUCUCAAGUGUGAAAGCUGAUUUAGGGUGUCACUUUGUGAGUAGGCAGUAGGUUACUUUGUCAGAUGCCCUGAAAGAAGAAAUUGGUGACGCACUAAUUCACCUUUCCUUUGGGUCAUAUGGGCAUGGGAUAUAUCCAUUUGACCUUGAACAGAUGAUCUUUGUUUAGUCCUCUAGAGGAAGAAGGGAAAACCUACGUUCCCUGUCAAUGUGUCCAGAGGAGGAAAAUUCCUUUUUGUAACCGUCAUGUAAUGAAGAAAGUACAUGCGUCACCUGCACUAUAUUCUUAUUUUGCGAUACAAAUGUGGUUAUAAACUGAUUGUUCUGCUCCUGCUUCCUCAAUACAAAAGCUUCGCAAUGAUGAUAGGUUGCCUUUCCCUGUCACUGCAAUUCCUGGAUCUCAAAGUACUCAAACAAGUAAACUUUGGGAUCUCCUGGUGAGGUAAGUAUUGGCGCCAUUAAUUAGAAGUGAAAUCAAGGCACAGGGAGUGACUUAUGAAAGUCACACAAGUCUGUGGCAAGCUUGAGGAGGGAACCCAAAGUCCUUGAAUCUCAUCAGGUUAGGCCUAUGCUGUGUCUCUGAUGCGUCUUGGGAGGAAAGCUUCUGGGACUGCCCUCCACCUCUCCUACUCACAUGUAUAAGACCUGGCAAUGUCUCAAAAGAGGCCUCACUGCCAAAUCUCUGUGUUUGGCAGUUGAGAGUGGAAGCAAGUGGGCAGGGUGUGUUCAGGUGAGUCCCUCCCUCCCUCCCUACAUGUGCAGGAUUGUGGAAUUGAAAUGUGCAUCUAUGUUGUGCAUUAACUACUGACCUUUGCUCCCUCUUUCUAGCACCACGUGCCCAUUCUGUUAUGAGAACAAACAAAAGGGUAUACACCGCACCAAGCAGUCCCUGGCAUAUAUACAUACUACACAACUCAACUAACCUACCUCCAGAUCAGGAGUCACAGAAAACUAUGUUGAAGAUACCAGGAGCAUAAGUGUGUUAGUACUAGGAAAUCCUGAGUGCCCCAGUUGAGAGGUUAAGAAUGUGAAGCUUAUAGUGAAGAACUGGUUGUGCAGCUACGCAGUGUCCAGUGAGUCUCAGCCAGAACACUACAUUGCUUCCAGUAACUUUCCAGGGAUCUCCCCACAGAUUUAUGAAGCAUAUACACUCUUCAGUGACAAAUGGAUUGCAAAACAAUGCUACUUCUUCUGAAAAGACACAGUGCACAUACCAAUAGGCACGAAGACAUCCAAUAAAGUCCUCAAGCAAAACCAGACUUGACAUUCCUGCCAUUUCUAAGCAGGAUAAAAAACUACUAGCACUGCCUCUGUCCCGUGGUAGUCUCCAGAGAAUGAGUUGCAGGCCAUUUAUUCGGAUGGCAGAGAAGAAAUGAAAAUGGGCAGAAACAGUAACAAGACCUGAUCUGAAAUAAAUCAUCCAGAAGUAAACAAGGCAAAAACUAACUGGAGAUGGCCAUGACUUUAGGUGGCAAUCGCAACUCCUUAAGGCAAAAAAUUGUAGACAUAUUGUAGGCAAAUUAUCCAUUAAAGAGCUUACUUUCCUUGGAAGGAUAUUGCCUCCUAGCAACAGUAGAGGGACCAAAAACCAUCUGCUGGUUAUUAGUGAAGUGAAAACCCCUGCAACUACCAAUACUCAUCUGUCAAUAAUUCUUGUAAGGAUCUUUGAUGGGUCAAACUGGAAGAACUUAAUUAUUAGACCAAAAGGAACACUCACUCACUUGAGCUGUGAUCACUGACUAAUGUUGUUUUAUUUCAAGAGGAGUGUAGGUAUAGUAUGGAUGGAUUAUUUUCUUUAAAUAAGAACGUGUUUUAAAAAAACCCUGAAAAACCAAAAAAACUUGGAAGCUUUAACAAAAAAGUUCUGUUGCAUUUAAAGAUGACUGAUUGGUAAUAUAAGAAGGCUUUGUCUAUAUGUGAAAAUCCAAGUGUGCCACUUCGUUAUGGGUUUGAUGAUGUCCAUAUUGAAUAUGUAUGAGCUUGGAGGAAAUUCUUAACAAACAAUACAGAAAAUAAUAAGAAAAC
Molecule: long non-coding RNA, 3387 nt
Organism: Gavialis gangeticus (Gharial)
Lineage: Eukaryota; Metazoa; Chordata; Crocodylia; Gavialidae
Exons: 6
Source: RefSeq, a predicted model, not a curated record